Molecule: non-coding RNA, 568 nt
Organism: Camellia sinensis
Lineage: Eukaryota; Viridiplantae; Streptophyta; Magnoliopsida; Ericales; Theaceae
Source: RefSeq, a predicted model, not a curated record
GGGGGCAUUCAUUUUGUUUCUUCUGUGGAGGCCAUUUCUCUUGGUGCCCAAGCUGGUAUUCAUCCAUGGAUAAUUUAUGACAUUAUUUCUAAUGCUGCUGGAAAUUCAUGGGUAUUGUUUUGGAUAUGGCCAAAUCAUGUACAUUUCCUCUUCCACUUCUGGCAGUUGCUUUUCAACAUCUAAUAGCAGGCUCCUCUCAUGGUCAUGGAAAUGAUGGUAAUGACACAUUGAUCAAGGCUUGGGAGAAAGUAUAUGGGGUGAACAUUACCAAUGCUGUCAAUAUGCUUGUUUGGUGGAUACUUUUGUGGCAUGAUACUGUGUUGCGUUGAAUCUGGUGCUGAUUGGCUCUGUUCUGUGUGUUCUGCCUCUGAUGCAGCUUUUGAUUGAUGCGAUCUGUUUGUCCUGAUUUCUGAUUUGGUUGAGUUGUUUUGUUGCUGGUUUUGUUUGAUUUGUUUUCUGACUGUUUUAGUAAAUGAGGUAAACUGCUGCAUCAAUUCUAAUUUGGUUAUAUGAUUUUGUUUGGGUUGCCAAGUUGAAAUGGUUUUCUGAACUGGUGAUGAUCUGUGUU